GAAAACCACCCUGCGGCAGUCAAGUAUUAGCAAAGUUACCUCAACCCUUUGAUGUCGGCCCUUCCUGUCACCACAAACCAGAACUCACCAAGUGUUAGUCAGCUCGCCCAUUAACAAUGAACACGAGCUGGGUUUAGACUGCCAUGAGACAAGUU
Molecule: non-coding RNA, 155 nt
Filed under: Phoenicopterus ruber ruber
Lineage: Eukaryota; Metazoa; Chordata; Aves; Phoenicopteriformes; Phoenicopteridae
Description: Eukaryotic large subunit ribosomal RNA
Rfam family: Eukaryotic large subunit ribosomal RNA
Source: Rfam by way of RNAcentral